ACAUUCUUUGCCAAACUGUCCGGAUGUCUAUUACUUAUAGUCAAUCCUUUGGGGUACGAUCUUAUUCUUUGUCGGACCAUUUGGCCAAUCAUUUGACAUUCUUCUGUUAUUCAGUCUCACCUUUGAUUAGACCGUCCGGUCACUUAUUUAAAUUCUUGAUACACAGUUUCUCGUUUCGGUUAGACCGUUCGGUCACUAUUAAUUCAAUCUUUGGUAUUUAGUUCUGUUCAUUGCCGGACCAUUCGGUCAAACCUUCUUGUCUUACUCAAUCUCUUAUUCUAUCUUUGAUUCACCCGGUCC
RNAcentral lists this long non-coding RNA (300 nucleotides) under Vigna radiata. Its description in RNAcentral is "long non-coding RNA (VRAD_LNC009327)". Lineage: Eukaryota; Viridiplantae; Streptophyta; Magnoliopsida; Fabales; Fabaceae. The record is from RNAcentral.